AUGGAACAAUGUAGGCAAGGGAAGUCGGCAAAACGGAUCCGUAACUUCGGGAAAAGGAUUGGCUCUAAGGACUGGCCUCGGGGGUCCCGGCCCCGAACCCGUCGGCUGUCGGCGGAUUGCUCGAGCUGCUCACGCGGCGAGAGCGGGUCGCCGCGUGCCGGCCGGGGGACGGACCGGGAAUCGCCCCUUCGGGGGCUUUCCCCGAGCAUGAAACAGUCGACUCAGAACUGGUACGGACAAGGGGAAUCCGACUGUUUAAUUAAAACAAAGCAUUGCGAUGGUCCUCGCGGAUGCUGA
RNAcentral lists this ribosomal RNA (297 nucleotides) under Triticum aestivum (bread wheat). RNAcentral's name for it is "partial small subunit ribosomal RNA". It matches the Rfam family "Eukaryotic large subunit ribosomal RNA", at positions 1890 to 2184 of the family's 3401-position model. Lineage: Eukaryota; Viridiplantae; Streptophyta; Magnoliopsida; Poales; Poaceae. The record is from RNAcentral.